CUAUGUUCACUAUUUAUUUGGUAUUAGAUGGAUGUUCUUGUAUUACUAUAAAUGGGGACGUGGUUGCUCAAGGAUCCCAGUUUUUCUUAAAGGAUGUUAAGGUCUUGACUGCUCAGAUUGACCUAGAUACGGACGAGGCUGGUGCAUAUCAUCUAUAAAGACAGUCGGGACUAGAAAAAGAUCUAAGUAGGUGUAUGUUAGGUGAUUAUAUUCUCCAAUUAUUUAUCUCUGCUGUCUGGUGGAAGCUCAAAUGAGAAUAUAUCAGCACAUCUGCAUCUCCAUAUGGAUGGAAUGGCUCGAGGCUUCUUCAUUUCAUAGUCGAAAGCAUCUACAGCUCGCAUUUGUAUAUAUGAAAUGAAACAACUUCCUUUCCACAUUUUUUAGGUAGUUAAGGGUAUCUGAGGGUUUGAUCUUUUGGUUGUUUAGCAUUUCCAUAAAUCAGAUCUUGAAAGGAAAUUAAUAUAUUUGUCCCCUCUGAUUUAUAGAUACGUCUUUUCUUUCCUACAAUGUUGUAAUAAUAGUACAAGUGAAGGUAUAUCUAUCAAUCAAUGUGACUGUAAAUUAUUUU
Molecule: long non-coding RNA, 568 nt
Organism: Magnolia sinica
Lineage: Eukaryota; Viridiplantae; Streptophyta; Magnoliopsida; Magnoliales; Magnoliaceae
Exons: 2
Source: RefSeq, a predicted model, not a curated record